RNAcentral lists this ribosomal RNA (492 nucleotides) under uncultured bacterium. RNAcentral's name for it is "partial 16S ribosomal RNA". It matches the Rfam family "Bacterial small subunit ribosomal RNA", at positions 29 to 507 of the family's 1533-position model. The record is from RNAcentral.
AUUGAACGCUGGUGGCAUGCUUUACACAUGCAAGUCGAACGGUAACAGGCCUUCGGGUGCUGACGAGUGGCGAACGGGGGAGUAAUGCAUAGGAACGUACCCAGAGGUGGGGGAUAACGCAGCGCAAGCUGUGCUAAUACAGCAUGUGAUCUGAGGAUGAAAGAGGGGGACCGCGCAGCAAUGUUUGGCCUCGCGCCUUUGGAGCGGCCGAUGUCGGAUUAGCUAGUUGGUGGGGUAAAGGCCUACCAAGGCGACGAUCCGUAGCUGGUCUGAGAGGACGACCAGCCACACUGGGACUGAGACACGGCCCAGACUCCUACGGGAGGCAGCAGUGGGGAAUUUUGGACAAUGGGGGCAAGCCUGAUCCAGCAAUGCCGCGUGCGGGAUGAAGGCCUUCGGGUUGUAAACCGCUUUUGGCAGGAACGAAACGGUGUCCGCUAAUACCGGGCGCUAAUGACGGUACCUGCAGAAUAAGCACCGGCUAACUACGUG